CCCGGGGUUGCGGGCUGUGGCCCCGGGGGCUGAGGGCGGCGCGGGUGCGGCGGAAGCAGGGAAGCCGCGAACCGGCCUUCUGGCUGGCCACAGCGCCCUGCACGGACGAUCAGUGAAUGGAGAUUACUCAAGUCCACAGUUAUUUCACUUCUAAAUAAAUAUGGUUUUUUAAAAGUGGCACGCGGUGGAAUGUAAUUGAGACAGGAUGGAGUUCCUAGAGAAAUUUUACUUCCUCAAUCUGCACUCCACCUUACUUAAAAUACAGUCUUGGGUCUGUAAUUCCCUUAUCUGACUCUCAAGGAAAUGACAAAGUAAUGCCUAGAUUGGACUAAACCUCAUUUAACUUCAAGGCUGACCUUUCUCAAAGUUGAACCUUCGUCUUGUGAGGAACAGAAAGAUCAAGAACUCUGAAGCACCUCGACUUUCCACCUGUGAAGAUGUGUUCAAAUUUGCAACGUGCGGCCACACCUAUGAGGCAGGAGUGCAGUGGCGAGAUCUGGACUCACUGCAACCUCUGCCUCCUGGCUUCAAGCAAUUCUCAUGCUUCAGCCUGUAGCUGGAACUACAGGUCACUCCCUCUGGAGGAAACCAGCUGCCACUUUGUGAGGAUACUCAUAGUCCUGUGGAGGCAUAUCCUCCAUAUGGCUGAGACCUCCUGCGAACAACCAUCACUGACUUGCCAGACAUGAGUGUGCCACCUUGGAAGCAGAUUUUCCAGCCCCAGUUAAGCCUUCAGAUGACAUCAGCCCCUGCUAAUCUCUUGACUACAACCUCAUGAGAGACCCUGAGCCAGAACUAGCCAGGCUUACCCCUCAUGGUUACAAAGUGGCUGCAACAGCUCCAGGUGUUCUAUCCUUUAACACAGAAUAACUCAAACAACAAGACCCAAUAUUCAGACAAGAAGGAAAGGGACUUUUGGAGAGUGAAGAAAACUUUCCUAGAAACCUCAAACUUCUCCCCAUGCCUUAUUGGCCAGAUUGUAUCCCAUGCCCAUUUCUAAACCAAUCAUUGGCAAAGUGAGUGGAAUUGACGUGAUUAGAUUAACUUUACCAAGAAUGCAUCCUCAGAGAGGCUGAGAAAAAGUCCAGCCUCCUUUGAAGAGCCUGGCUACCUUUCACCUGAACAAAACAAGAAUUCUGAUGAAAAAUGGAGAAUGUAUGUGGAGCAGGCACCCGGAGUGUCUAUGCCAGGAUUUUUUUUCAGUGCGUUUCACCGGUUAUAUUUUUGUCUCUUUACCUUACAAGAUAUGUGGCACGUUUGCCUAAAACAAGCCUUGCUUUCUGAUUUCUGUGCACUAGGCACUUAAACCUUGCAAAUGUCGCUUACCUAACAGUCACUGUCAAGGAGUACCUGGCUAAAGAAUCUCCAGCUAGACAAAGUAGAAGUGUCUGUGCUCUGGCAGUUGAAUAUAUUGUAUCAGGCUCAACAGCACCUUUCACCAAAGGAUGAGACUUCACAACCAUUAGAUCUUCUUUUAUUUUGUUUUUAUUAAAAAAAAAAAUUUUAACACACCAUUGCUAACUUGAAGCCAUUAGAUCUUCUUACCCCCAAUACCACAAAAGUUUAGUGGAAUCAGGGGUAUACCAAGGCAGGUGGAGUAGGGGAGCUGGGAGUGGUCAGCCCCCAGGGCAGGCAAUGAGGGAUUGUGAAUCUGUGAAGAAUUUUAAAGCAAUGAUACAGCUCUAAAUGCAAUGUACUAUCCUGGACUUAGCCCUGGAAAAGAAAAAAGAUAUUAGUGGAAAAACUGGUAAAAUUCAAAUAAUGUCUGUAGUUUGGUUAAUAGUAUUAUACCAAUGUUAAUUUCUGUGUUUUGAUAAAUGUACCAUGGUUAUGUAAGCUGGAUGAAAGAUAUGUGGGAAAUCUCUCUACUAUUUCUGCAACUCUCCUGUAAACCUAAAAAUGUUUCAAAAUAAAA
Long non-coding RNA from Homo sapiens (human), 1915 nucleotides. Ensembl annotates it as TRAM2 antisense RNA 1 (head to head). Its record names the gene TRAM2-AS1. Lineage: Eukaryota; Metazoa; Chordata; Mammalia; Primates; Hominidae. The record is from Ensembl.